RNAcentral lists this ribosomal RNA (354 nucleotides) under uncultured bacterium. RNAcentral's name for it is "bacterial SSU rRNA". It matches the Rfam family "Bacterial small subunit ribosomal RNA", at positions 527 to 881 of the family's 1533-position model. The record is from RNAcentral.
GUAGGUGGCAAGCGUUGUCCGGAAUUAUUGGGCGUAAAGGGCGCGCAGGCGGCGUCGUAAGUCGGUCUUAAAAGUGCGGGGCUUAACCCCGUGAGGGGACCGAAACUGCGAUGCUAGAGUAUCGGAGAGGAAAGCGGAAUUCCUAGUGUAGCGGUGAAAUGCGUAGAUAUUAGGAGGAACACCAGUGGCGAAAGCGGCUUUCUGGACGACAACUGACGCUGAGGCGCGAAAGCCAGGGGAGCAAACGGGAUUAGAUACCCCGGUAGUCCUGGCCGUAAACGAUGAAUACUAGGUGUUGGGAAGCAUUGCUUCUCGGUGCCGUCGCAAACGCAGUAAGUAUUCCACCUGGGGAGU